GGGCCCGCACAAGCGGUGGAGCAUGUGGUUUAAUUCGAUGCAACGCGAAGAACCUUACCUACUCUUGACAUCCAUAGAACUUUUCAGAGAUGAAUUGGUGCCUUCGGGAACUAUGAGACAGGUGCUGCAUGGCUGUCGUCAGCUCGGUGUUCGUGAAAUGUUGGGUUAAGUCCCCGCAACGAGCGCAACCCUUAUCCUUGUUUGCCAGCACUUCGGGUGGGAACUCCAGGGAGACUGCCGGUGAUAAACCGGAGGAAGGUGGGGACGACGUCAAGUCAUCAUGGCCCUUACGAGUAGGGCUACACACGUGCUACAAUGGCGCAUACAGAGGGCAGCCAACUUGCGAAAGUGAG
RNAcentral lists this ribosomal RNA (353 nucleotides) under uncultured bacterium. Its description in RNAcentral is "bacterial SSU rRNA". It matches the Rfam family "Bacterial small subunit ribosomal RNA", at positions 917 to 1267 of the family's 1533-position model. The record is from RNAcentral.